Molecule: long non-coding RNA, 3301 nt
Organism: Bombina bombina (fire-bellied toad)
Lineage: Eukaryota; Metazoa; Chordata; Amphibia; Anura; Bombinatoridae
Exons: 2
Source: RefSeq, a predicted model, not a curated record
GACGGAAGUAAAGUGAAGUUCCGUCAGUAUUUACUUCCCUUUAUUUCACGCUUGGUGAUCUGCGCUCUGGCUUUUGUUCUGCAAGGCUAAGUUUUUUUUUUGGAUAGAUUUUGUUAUGCGGGACUUUUGGUGCAGACCCGGAUGAUUGCAGUGCACCUCCUACCUGCUAACAGCCACGGAACCAGUGUGUCCUCUGAGCCACAGCAAGGCCCUUAUGCUGCUCAAAACUCUGCACCGGGUGGUUGUCAAGCGCCUCAAAAUUUCCCUGCUGUGUGAGAACAGGAGUCAGACACAUCCUGCCACUUCUGUUUUCGGUGCGCUGAGGGCUCAAAAGAUAUAACAGCCCCCUGUGAUGUGCAGCCUCACUUAAAGGGACAGUCUACCAUAGAAUUGUUAUUGUUUUAAAAGAUACAUAAUCCCUUUAUUACCCAUUCCCCAGUUUUGCACAACCAACACUGUUAUAUUAAUACACUUUUUACCUCUGAUUACCUUGUAUCUAAGUAGCUUCUUCCAGCCCCCUGAUCACAUGACUGUGACUGUUUAUUAUCUAUUGUCUUGAAGUUAGCAUUGUGUUGUGCUAGAUCUUAAAUAACUCCCUGUGCCUGAACACAGUGUUAUCUAUAUAGCCCACGUGUACUUUCUGUCUCUUUGUGAUGAAAAGGAUUUUAAAAGGCCUGUGAUAAGAGGCAGCCCUCAAGAGUUUAGAAAUUAGCAUAUGAGUCUGCCUAGGUUUAGUUUCAACUAAGAAUAGUAAGAGAAAAAAGCAAAUUUGAUGAUAAAAGUAAAUUGGAAAGUUGAUUAAAAUUACAUGUCCUAUCUGAAUAAUGAAAGUUUAAUUUUGACUAGACUGUCCCUUUAACAAGUGUGCAGUUCCUACAAAAAUCACUGCGCGGCAGAGCUGCCACGGGCAUUACAGGGAACUUUUGUCCCUGCAGCUCCUGUCUACACUCAGAUGGUUCUUACUCCACCUUGGCACACACUCAGCCCAGGCAUCCACUGUGUCUCAGGCAGACUCGGGUCAGUGUGCUGAUCUUCCUCCAUCAUGUGGAGCUCCCUGCUUAGGUAUAGGAGGAGGCUCUAUGUCAAUUUACACAUCCACCCCGUCUUCUCUCUAAAAGCCUGUGCGCUGUAGUGCUCAAUUUAUUGGGUGCAGGCUUUCAAAGAGAGGAUAUGGUGGGUGUGCAAACAGUUAAAGCAGCCCUGAAAAUGAAGGAACAUGCACGUGUCUGCAGCACUAUGGUGGCAGUUUUGCCAUAUGUUAUACAAUUGCAAGAGCGCUAGACGGCAGCACUUUUUACAGGGCUAUAGAAAAAGUAACUGAUCUGCUGUUCGUUACUGGCAGAUUGCUCCUCUUUCUGUAUGUAUUUCUAUUAAGACCCUGGGGAAACCAGACGUGGACUCCUUGUCCAAUGUGCUCAGAGGGAUAGGGCUGCACCUAACCAACGAGGCUGAAACAAUCGUCUGGGACCUUCUUAGGCAGGAUCAGACUAAUAUUUCAGGAAAGUUCUCCUCUGCAAAAAGCACAAUUGGGCUAAAAGAAGCUACCCCCAGACAGGGGGCCACAGAACAAGCCACUGAGCUCUUAUUCGUUCCUGGCGGAUUGCUUUUCUUUCUGUAAGCACUUUUUCGUGCCAAGUAGUGCUCCAUACAUGUGCAUGUUACCCAAUUAACUCUUAAACAAAGAAUACCAUAAGAACUAGGACAUUUUGAUGAAAGAAAUACAUUGGAAACAUUUUUAAAAUGGUAUGCUCUGUCUGAACCACAAAAGAAAAUUUUGGGUUUCAUGUCCCUUUAAAGGGACACUCAAAAAAAAACCCAAAAAACCCCAAAAACUUAUGAAUCAGAAAGAGCAUGCAGUUUUAAGAUACUUUGCAAAAUUUGAUAAUGGAAGUAAAUUGGAAAGUCUUAAUAUUCACAAUUUCUGGGUAACAAGAUCAUACGGUAUAAGUAUACUAGUCUGUGAUUGGCUGAUGUCUGUCACAUAAUACAGGGGGCAGGAAAAUGAGAGAAAAUAAAAUUGUCAGAAAAAAAAACAAAAAAAAAAACCACACUGCUUAUUUGAAUUCUACUGCAUUGAGUGGUCCUUUAAUUUAAAGUGAAAUAGCGCUGCGGAAUCUGUUGGCGCUCUACAAAUAACCGAUAAUAAUAAUAAUGUCAAUUUUGAUGCCAAAGUGCCCGUUUUUUAAAAAUUUGAUUAAAAACAGGGGCACUAAUUCAUCAAAAUUUACAUUUCACUCCUGUUGAGAAAAAAACAAAAAAACAACAACAACAAAAAAAACAACUUAACUUUUAAUCUUCACAGCAGCUCCAGCUUCCUCCACCCGUCACAAAGCUCUUCCUGGGUCUAAAAUGAGGAAUCCGGCUUCCUCCAAUCACUGCGUUGAAUCAGACACCGAUUCCCCCAGGGGGGGGAGUCGUGAUUGGAGGAUGACCUAUCCAUCAUUUCUGACGUCAGAAAUGGCUUGCAACGACCGUAGGAAGCUAGAGCUGCUGUGAAGAUUAAAAGGUAAGUUUUUUUUCUCAACAGGAGUGAAAUAUAAAUUUUGAUGAAUUAAAGUGCCCUGUUUUUAGUCGAACUUUUUAAAACCGGGCACUUUAGCAUCAAAAUUGACAUUCACUUUAACAUUUGGUAUAAUAACAAUGGUUGUUGUGUAUGUCCACAAAACACCCAAACACCCUCUUAACCCCUUCCUGUACGUAUUUGUUACAUAGGAACAAAGUUCCAAAAUAAACAAAUAAGCAAAAAAAUUUGCGAUCGUGUGAUUUCAAUGAUGGGAUCCAUUCUGGGGGGGUGCCUAUGAAGCUAGGCAUGCCCUCCAGUCCAUGAUCCCAGUUAGGAAGCCGUAGCCGCUUCAGUAAAGCAGAGCGGCUAGGAAGUUCCAUGCUGUCCUAACGGUGCUAAAGCCCAGCGCGAUUAGGGCGGCAUGGAACGUCCUAACGGGGAUAUAGGGACAUUAAAAAGUUGUGUGUAUGUCGAACAAAAUAUAAUGUAUGGCAGCAGAUCUGCAUGCAAACUAAAUAAUUCAAGAGCCUUUAAACUCAUUUUGUCUUGGGGCACACCACUUGAAAAUUAUCUUGAAUGUUGUUUACAUUAUCUUUCCUCUUGUGCUGUGGCUAAUAGAUCUAUAUAAAUGAGCUCCUGCACAGAUCAAGCAAUCAUUAGGCUACAUGUUAGAGGGUCAACAUCCUAAAUUUCACAGGAUGUUUCCUUGCUACUCUAGUGCAAUAUAUAAACUAAAAUUUUCAGAAAAAAAAAUGAAGAUGAAAUAAUAAAAGUGCAUUGCAUUUGUUUUCAACAGAA